UUGAUUAGUUGAUCCUAGACUUUGUAUUAAUAUUAAUAAAUAGGUUUAUGAUUAAGUCUUACCUAAUCGUAUACAUAAGAGAGUAGCGAUCAGAAUUAGGCAGGAAUCAAAAAGAGGGCGAACUUGAUAGUCAGUUAAAACUUAGGCUGAAGUGGAAGAGGUCUGGUCUUGAUAAGUGAAGGAAGCUCUACCUAGGGCGUUUUUCGAUUGGAAUUUGGAAGAAUUGAGGCAAGUUUAUUCGGUUUUCUUAGUCUUGGAUAAAUGUAGAAAUGGUUAUAGAAUAAAUCGUUAAGUUUGUUGCUUAUGCCUGUGUUUGUUCAUAACUUAGGAUCUGUUUGUGAUUUUUGUAACGAACUACUUCUUUGUCGUGUCGUUACUGGGUUCUAAUUGGGACGGGUACAUAUAAGGUUCUUUGAUUCACGACAUGGUGUGCACGGUAGGAAAAGAAAAUGAAUAAUACAUUUAACCUAGCUAUUUGAUCAUCUGAACUUUUGCUCAUAAAUUAAUUGAACUAAAUAAAUAAUUUCUUGA
Papaver somniferum (opium poppy) is the source of this 531-nucleotide long non-coding RNA. RefSeq lists it as uncharacterized. NCBI's taxonomy places the organism in Eukaryota, Viridiplantae, Streptophyta, Magnoliopsida, Ranunculales, Papaveraceae. The transcript has 2 exons. The record is from RefSeq and is a predicted model, not a curated record.